RNAcentral lists this ribosomal RNA (558 nucleotides) under Pelophylax nigromaculatus (dark-spotted frog). RNAcentral's name for it is "partial 16S ribosomal RNA". It matches the Rfam family "Bacterial large subunit ribosomal RNA", at positions 1820 to 2602 of the family's 2925-position model. Lineage: Eukaryota; Metazoa; Chordata; Amphibia; Anura; Ranidae. The record is from RNAcentral.
GCCUCUUGAUUAAACAUAAGAGGUCCAGCCUGCCCAGUGACAUAGUUUAACGGCCGCGGUACCCUAACCGUGCGAAGGUAGCAUAAUCACUUGUUCUUUAAAUAGGGACUCGUAUCAACGGCAUCACGAGGGCUAUACUGUCUCCUUUCUCCAAUCAAUGAAACUGAUCUCCCCGUGAAGAAGCGGGGAUUAACCUAUAAGACGAGAAGACCCCAUGGAGCUUCAAACUCAAUAUACACCUCUACGCACCCAAAUCACUUUAGCCCAAGAGAUCUGUAUAUUGGUUUUGGGUUGGGGGGACCGCGGAGUAAAAAUUAACCUCCACGACAAACGGGCUUUACGCCCUUAUCCACGAACUACAGCUCUAAGAAUCAAUAAACUGAUGUUUAUGACCCGAUUAUUCGAUCAACGAACCAAGUUACCCUGGGGAUAACAGCGCAAUCUACUUCAAGAGCCCCUAUCGACAAGUAGGUUUACGACCUCGAUGUUGGAUCAGGGUAUCCUAGUGGUGCAGCCGCUACUAAAGGUUCGUUUGUUCAACGAUUAAAACCCUACGUG